This 602-nucleotide long non-coding RNA is filed under the name Homo sapiens (human). RNAcentral's name for it is "HSALNT0132583". Lineage: Eukaryota; Metazoa; Chordata; Mammalia; Primates; Hominidae. The record is from RNAcentral.
GGGAAGCAGAGGAGGCCAGGGAGGCAAUGGAGGCAGGAGAGGCUGGGGAGGUUAUGUCCUUUCCAUGAUUCUGCCCUGGAUCCUAGGCCCCUGAACUCCCUGAGCUUCCCCACCCCAAGCGCUGGAACCAGGUUGCACAAUGGUCUCCCCACUAAGCUCCUGAUGGCAGCCCCUACCCUGCUGUGCUCCCUAUUUCAACCCUAACAGCUCUCACAGUGGGCAGCACAUAGUAGGUGCUCAGGAAACACUGGUGGGAGAGCACGUGGGUCUGCUCAGCACCUUCCUCUCUCCUCCAGCUCUCCCCAUCAUGAAAUAAUUCUGAUAACGACACAUGGACUUUGAGACCCUCUUCUAUUACUUUCCAUAUGCUAAUCCAUCUAUACCUCACAGCAGCCCUGGGGGUGGGUGCAAUGAGGAUGCCCAUUUUAUAGAGGAGGAGACUGAGGUAUAAAGAGGGUAAGUGACAUACGCACACUACAGGGGCUGGGGCCAAGUGAUCAGAGCACUCAAUCCCCAAAGGCAAGGUGGAUGCAGUUACCAUAAAAGACAGCAGAGUCAAAGCUGCAACCAGAAUAGCCUGACUCGCAGAGACCUAUGGUGCC